Molecule: ribosomal RNA, 1340 nt
Filed under: metagenome
Description: SSU rRNA
Rfam family: Eukaryotic small subunit ribosomal RNA
Source: RNAcentral
CGGCUACCACAUCUAAGGAAGGCAGCAGGCGCGUAAAUUACCCAAUCCUGACUCAGGGAGGUAGUGACAAGAAAUAGCAAACCGGGAACCUCAUGGUUUCACGGUAUUGCAAUGAGAACAAUUUAAAACCCUUAGCGAGAAUCAAGUGGAGGACAAGUCUGGUGCCAGCACCCGCGGUAAUUCCAGCUCCACUAGCGUAUAUUAAAGUUGUUGCAGUUAAAAAGCUCGUAGUUGAACCUCUGUCUGGGGCUAGUUUUGGCUUUGGUCAGGCUAGUUCUAGGCAUCCGCCUACAAGACUUAGAGGGCAUUCAGUUGUUCACUAGGAGGAGUAGGCAUUUUACUUUGAAAAAAUUAGAGUGUUUAAGGCAGGCAAUCGCCCGCAUAUAUUAGCAUGGAAUAAUAGAAUAGGACACUUUUCCAUUUCGUUGGUUAUUGGAAUCGUGUAAUGAUUAAUAGGGACAGUUGUGGGCAUUUGUAUUUAAUUGUCAGAGGUGAAAUUCUUGGAUUUAUUAAAGACAAACUAACGCGAAAGCAUUUGCCAAGGAUGUUUUCAUUAAUCAAGAACGAAAGUUAGGGGAUCAAAGACGAUCAGAUACCGUCCUAGUCUUAACUAUAAACUAUUCCGACUCAAUGUUUGACUGGCUUAUAUAACCAGUUGAGCGUUGUAUGAGAAAUCAAAGUCUUUAGGUUCUGGGGGGAGUAUGGUUGCAAAGCUGAAACUUAAAGGAAUUGACGGAAGAGCACAACCAGGAGUGGAUUCUGCGGCUUAAUUUGACUCAACUCGGGGAAACUUACCAGGUUAAAACAAUAGUGGGAUUGACAGUUUGAGAGCGCUUUCUUGAUUGGUUGGGUGGUGGUGCAUGGCCGUUCUUAGUUGGUGGAGUGAUUUGUCUGCUUAAUUGCGUUAACGAACGAGACCUUAACCUGCUUACUAGACUGGCGAUCAUCAAUCGUUAGCUCUUCUUAGAGGGACUUUGGUUGUUUUAACUCCAAGGAAGUUUGAGGCAAUAACAGGUCUGUGAUGCCCUUAGAUAUCCUGGGCCGCACGCGUCAUACAAUGACUAGUUCAGAAAGUUUUCUCCUGACCCGAAAGGGGAUGGGUAAUCUUGAUAAUACUAGUCGUGUUAGGGAUCGAUCUUUGCAAUUAUAGAUCUUGAACGAGGAAUUCCUAGUAAGUGCGGUUCAUCAGACCGUACUGAUUACGUCCCUGCUCUUUGUACACACCGCCCGUCGCUUCUACCGAGUGGGUGGUCCGGUGAGAUAAUUGAACUUCGCAGGUAACUGAGAGGAAAGAUUAUCAAACCUAUCCACCUCGAGGAAGAAGAAGUCGUAACAAGGUU